RNAcentral lists this ribosomal RNA (250 nucleotides) under uncultured soil bacterium. RNAcentral's name for it is "partial 16S ribosomal RNA". It matches the Rfam family "Bacterial small subunit ribosomal RNA", at positions 26 to 285 of the family's 1533-position model. The record is from RNAcentral.
AGGACGAACGCUGGCGGCGUGCUUAACACAUGCAAGUCAAGGGGGGCCAGCAAUGGUCAACCGGCGAACGGGUGCGUAACACGUGAGCAAUCUACCUUUUUGUGGGGGAUAGCCGGCCCAACGGCCGGGUAAUACCGCAUACGAUCUUCGAGAGGCAUUUCUUGAAGAUGAAGCCUUCGGGGCAGAAAGAGGAGCUCGCGGCCUAUCAGCUAGUUGGUGAGGUAAUGGCUCACCAAGGCAAUGACGGGUA